AUUGAACGCUGGCGGCAUGCCUAACACAUGCAAGUCGAGCGGAGCGUCGGACGGGUGCGUAUUGCCUAGGCAUAUGCCUGGUAGUGGGCGACAGCGUCCGGAAACGGGCGCUAAUACCGCAUACUUUCAGUUGAGUUCAGGUCGGACGAGCUAGUUGGGGUGGUAAAGGCCUACCAAGGCGACGAUCCGUAACUGGUCUGAGAGGAUGAUCGGUCACACUGGGACGGAGACACGGCCCAGACUCCUACGGGAGGCAGCAGUGGGGAAUAUUGGGCAAUGGGCGAAAGCCUGAUCCAGCAAUGCCGCGUGUAUGAAGAAGGUCUUCGGGUUGGAAAGCACUUUAAGGUGGGAGGCGUUACCAACAGAAUAAGCAACGGCUAACUCCGUGCCAGCAGCCGCGGUAAUUC
RNAcentral lists this ribosomal RNA (407 nucleotides) under uncultured bacterium. RNAcentral describes it as "partial 16S ribosomal RNA". It matches the Rfam family "Bacterial small subunit ribosomal RNA", at positions 30 to 526 of the family's 1533-position model. The record is from RNAcentral.